This is a long non-coding RNA of Triticum aestivum (bread wheat), 3524 nucleotides long. RefSeq lists it as uncharacterized. The record is from RefSeq and is a predicted model, not a curated record. The transcript is spliced from 3 exons. NCBI's taxonomy places the organism in Eukaryota, Viridiplantae, Streptophyta, Magnoliopsida, Poales, Poaceae.
GACAGGUACAAGGGGCUCAUUGGUUGCUUGGCCUGCUUUUCGUAUAUCAAUGAGGAUAUCCCUGACAUAAAUUCGUUUUGUGACAGUCUUGGAGAGAAAUUUACUAUUGUCGAUGCAUACACUCAUCCGGGGUAGAAUCUGAUCUCGAGUAAACAUUGUGCUCCACCAGAAGAAGAGCAUCUGGAUGUCUUAAUCCUAACAUUCGGGAGUGCACUUCGUUUGAUGCCUUGAAAGAUCAGUAUAUUGGGAAUCAUGAGAUAGUCAUCCAGAGUUUGGUCAGAUUUGAACUGAUUUGGCUUACAAUUUGUAAUUUUGCAAUCAGCUUUCCUACAAGGUACUUUCAGAUCUUCAUUCGACUUAUUAUACAUGACCGUUAAUAAUCCCUCGAAAAUGAACUCCAUUGCUGUAAUUGAAAAUUUAAAAGCACAAGAUUUAAUGGCUUGUGUGGUCAUACAUAUUGAUGCUUAUUUAUUUUAGACCCUUUAAAGGAAUAAGGGUUCAUGGCAUAUUUUUAUUUCAAGUAUUUGUCUACAGAUGUUUCUAUAAAACAAUACAAUUUAUUAUGUUACAGUUAAGAAUCUAUUCAAAAUUGCACUUUAUCUUGCAUAGAUCAAACUCUGUUAAGCUACAAGGUGCACUUAGCUAUCAUUUCUCCCCAUUUCCCAGUAAGAGCCAACAGUAGGUAGGUCUAAUUUUGCUUCUGUGAGCCGUCUGAUUAAAUAUUGGGUUUGUGGUGACACCAACUGUCGAUGUGCAAUUCUUUCAAUUUUACCUGUUUCUUUGUUCUUUUUAUAUAACAGUUUUGCAAUUUGGGUGGCAUGUUUCAAGCUUGCUAUCCAUGUGCCAGAGUCAUGAGUUGGUCAUGAGAUCUUAUGGGUUUCACCUCUAGCCUACCCCAACUUGUUUGCGACUAAAGGCUUUGUUGUUGUUGUACCAUUUGACACUGAAAUAUCUUCCUCAGAAGUCACUAAGAUGAAUCCUUUUCCCGUCUUUUGCUUGAUUUAACUGCUAAACUACAUGUUCCCAAAACUGGCAUUAAUACUUUUACAACCAGACUCAGCGAGUACAGUACCGAAACUGAGCCUAUUUGCCAAAAUAUUUGUUAUUUUCCUUAUCCUCCUAAGGGCAAAGUUUUCGCCAAGUGGUUGAAUGACAAUAUUAUGCGAUUGGGUCUCACAUUCAUUAAAAUAGCAUAGGAAUUAUGCACCUGAGUAAUCAUUUAUUAUACCAUCCAACUCCGUUUGUGGUUUGCUCCUCUCGACGAUAGGAUGAGGCUGGUAAUAUGCAUAUAAUCGUUCAUCUACGGCGUGCAUCCGUUAAUCAUGUUUUAUACAGCAGGAGUGCUUCAGUUAUCUAUUUUCUUGACAGAAUGGUACAAUAUCUGAUUGCUUAUAUGCAGGUUUUAGAAUAAUUUAUUUACCAGGUUUUAGAAUCUGUUAUGUAAAGAACAUUGGGUACACCUUCCGGUUGGUAGACAACUCCCUAUAUUCUAUAGAUAUGGCGUUUUGGUUAGCUGGCAUUUAUUGGUUACUCAAUGACCUUUUGGUUAGUGUACUAUUGGUUCGGUUAUGUGGCACCUGCAAUAUGCAGGAAAAAUGAAAUAUGUAACCUAAAGUGUGAUCAUACUUUUUCGGUGGCGUUAUGGGCCCUGCUUUCGAUACUUCAGUUAUACCAAAUACUUGUCGCCUUUAGCAUUAUUCAGUUCCAUGUAUAAAUUCAUGUUUGAGUUUGUAUAUAAUAAUCUAAUGCCUCAUAUGUUCAUUUCAUUUAGUCAUCUCAACUUCAACUUUAAAAGUUGUAUCUAUGUAGUUAAUACAAAGUACAGGCAUGCGGUCUAAAUCAAGAUCACAGUGAGAUGGCGCAGCUUGAUUUGCUGCUUCCUCUUCUGCUGUGUGUUUGCUCAGUGUGUUUGUUCCAAGGUGAGCCUCUUUCUUUUUCCCAUGCUUUUGACCUGCUCAUAGUGGAGUAUGGUCACGGUUGGUUCCUAGAUGUACCAUAGACAUGUCUGGACUAUGAACUCUUUUUUACCAGCUCUGAGAUUUUACAUAGUGAUGGCUCAUGAUUAAGAUUAUUACUGUGAAAAAGAACUUACCUCAUGUUAUCAUGUACUCCCUCCGACCAAAAAUAUGUGUCAUAAAGCUCAUAUAUCUCUUUAGGGGCAAAUGAUUAUGAUAGAGAUACCAAGAAACUAAAUGGAACUCAUAAAGCUCAUGACCAUCACGGGAGGCAAGGUUCACCUUUUUUUCUUUUCUUCAUCUUACUCACAGCCCACAGUGUUAUGAAUUUUAUUUAUGUCUGCAACUUUUGGUAUCACAAAGCAAGGAUGAACCCGCUACAUCUUAGCGCACCUUUAACUACUUUAUUUGCUGUACUAUUGUGGAUGUACCGCAGAAUAAAGCAGUCCUCCAUUUUUCUUCUCUGCAGGCUGAUGUUCUUGCUCAAUAUAAGCCAACAAUUGACACAAAAUCGUUGAUUGCUAAACUAAAGAGGUUUAAUGAGUUGGCAGCUAAUGCUUUAGUGAGCUUUAAGAGUAUCCGGAGUAUUGUUCUAUAUUACGAGGAUGUGAUCAGCAAUCGCACUGUGAGCCCUAUUGGACAAUAUUAAUGUUUGGGAAAUAAUCACCAUUUAUUUCUCUCGAUAACAUUGGUUAAGCCCUCUUUCAGAAGCUCACAGAUGUGCUGCUAUCCAGUCUCUAUGUGAAAAUCCAUACUAAAUUAUUGUGUGAUCAUAUUGAUAAUUGGAUUGAUGUUUAUAAUGCUUGGAUUGGGACUCAAUAUCACAUCUUCUUGAAUGGUUGAAGAUGAGCAAAUUAGACAGGUCUAAAUAAUGACUCAAUAUCACAGCCAGUCAAUUCUCUUCAUGCUAGAUUUACAAUUUACUUGAUACAAAAAGGCAAUACAGUUUAGUAACGACCUGGAACUAGCAGGCUAUCCCAUUUGUUCAGGUUAUGAGCAGUACUGUUUCCUUCUUAAAUUUGGGCAAUCUUUAAAAUACCAUAUUACUACGCAAAGCUUUAAAAAGCAAUCCAGAAUAGAGGCCAGACCUUAAUCAUGUUGAUAUUUUCUAUUAUGAAUUCAUGAUAUUCCAAUUUUCAUGUCUUCUUUGUGUUGUAAGUGGCUGCUCUAGACAGAGUACUUAUGUCGUACUUAUAGCUUAUUCCUAUACAUUUAGUUCUUCUAACAUUCAAUAGUCAGUACCCAGCAAUCCUUGUGGACCCGGUACUGAUUACUUCUGGUGGUCAUGGAUAACUAAAAAUUGCCUUCUUUUCGCGUUGCAUCAAGAUGAAAUUAAGCUCUUGAGUUUCUUGGAGCAGCCCUACAUGUGAUUGUUGUGGGUUUUUGAAACUACAUAUGAUGUCACAUAGGCAUGCUACUAAAGUUUAGGCAUUGAUGUUGUUUGAGCGUCUUUUGGUCCUAGUGGAACCUUUAUUGAACUUAUUAACAUGUUUUAGUCUUAUACUCCCUCCGUUUUUAUUUAGUUCGCAUAUUAGAUUUGGUCAAAAUCAAGCUUUACAAACUUUGACC